This 253-nucleotide ribosomal RNA is filed under the name uncultured bacterium. Its description in RNAcentral is "partial 16S ribosomal RNA". It matches the Rfam family "Bacterial small subunit ribosomal RNA", at positions 524 to 776 of the family's 1533-position model. RNAcentral also lists the same sequence under 1 other name. The record is from RNAcentral.
CACGAACCGUACGAACGUUAUUCGGAAUUACUGGGCUUAAAGGGUUUGUAGGCGGCCAUGUAAGUCAGGUGUGAAAUCCCUCGGCUCAACCGAGGAACGGCGCUUGAUACUGCAUGGCUUGAGGGAGACAGGGGUAAGCGGAACUGAUGGUGGAGCGGUGAAAUGCGUUGAUAUCAUCAGGAACACCGGUGGCGAAAGCGGCUUACUGGGUCUCUUCUGACGCUGAGGAACGAAAGCUAGGGUAGCGAACGGG